Molecule: ribosomal RNA, 466 nt
Filed under: uncultured bacterium
Lineage: Bacteria
Description: partial 16S ribosomal RNA
Rfam family: Bacterial small subunit ribosomal RNA
Source: RNAcentral
GAUGAACGCUGGCGGCGUGCUUAACACAUGCAAGUCGAACGAUGAAGCUCAGCUUGCUGGGUGGAUUAGUGGCGAACGGGUGAGUAACACUUGAGUAACCUGCCCUUAACUCUGGGAUAAGCCUGGGAAACUAGGUCUAAUACCGGAUAGGAGCGUCCACCGCAUGGUGGGUGUUGGAAAGAUUUAUCGGUUUUGGAUGGACUCGCGGCCUAUCAGCUUGUUGGUGAGGUAAUGGCUCACCAAGGCGACGACGGGUAGCCGGCCUGAGAGGGUGACCGGCCACACUGGGACUGAGACACGGCCCAGACUCCUACGGGAGGCAGCAGUGGGGAAUAUUGCACAAUGGGCGAAAGCCUGAUGCAGCGACGCCGCGUGAGGGAUGACGGCCUUCGGGUUGUAAACCUCUUUCAGUAGGGAAGAAGCGAAAGUGACGGUACCUGCAGAAGAAGCACCGGCUAACUACGUG